UACGAAGGGGGCUAGCGUUGCUCGGAACCACUGGGCGUAAAGCGCACGUAGGCGGCUUCUUAAGUCAGGGGUGAAAUCCUGGGGCUCAACCCCAGAACUGCCCUUGAUACUGCGGAGCUUGAGUCCGGGAGAGGUGAGUGGAACUCCGAGUGUAGAGGUGAAAUUCGUAGAUAUUCGGAAGAACACCAGUGGCGAAGGCGGCUCACUGGCCCGGUACUGACGCUGAGAUGCGAAAGCGUGGGGAGCAAGCAGG
RNAcentral lists this ribosomal RNA (253 nucleotides) under uncultured bacterium. Its description in RNAcentral is "partial 16S ribosomal RNA". It matches the Rfam family "Bacterial small subunit ribosomal RNA", at positions 524 to 776 of the family's 1533-position model. The record is from RNAcentral.